UACGUAGGUGACAAGCGUUGUCCGGAUUUACUGGGCGUAAAGAGCGCGCAGGCGGUCGAUCAAGUCGAGUGUGAAAGCCCCCGGCUCAACUGGGGAGGGUCAUUCGAUACUGAUCGACUCGAAGGCAGGAGAGGGUAGUGGAAUUCCCGGUGUAGUGGUGAAAUGCGUAGAUAUCGGGAGGAACACCAGUGGCGAAGGCGACUACCUGGCCUGUUCUUGACGCUGAGGCGCGAAAGCUAGGGGAGCGAACAGG
Molecule: ribosomal RNA, 253 nt
Filed under: uncultured bacterium
Lineage: Bacteria
Description: partial 16S ribosomal RNA
Rfam family: Bacterial small subunit ribosomal RNA
Source: RNAcentral